GGGGUGGAGACAAUAACGAGGACAGGUGAAACAGAUCAGGGGUGGAGACAAUAACGAGGACAGGUGAAACAGAUCAGGGGGUGGAGACAAUAACGAGGACAGGUGAAACAGAUCAGGGGGUGGAGACAAUAACGAGGACAGGUGAAACAGAUCAGGGGGUGGAGACAAUAACGAGGACAGGUGAAACAGAUCAGGGGGUGGAGACAAUAACGAGGACAGGUGAAACAGAUCAGGGGUGGAGACAAUAACGAGGACAGGUGAAACAGAUCAGGGGGUGGAGACAAUAACGAGGACAGGUGAAACAGAUCAGGGGGUGGAGACAAUAACGAGGACAGGUGAAACAGAUCAGGGGGUGGAGACAAUAACGAGGACAGGUGAAACAGAUCAGGGGGUGGAGACAAUAACGAGGACAGGUGAAACAGAUCAG
Molecule: long non-coding RNA, 427 nt
Organism: Oncorhynchus keta (chum salmon)
Lineage: Eukaryota; Metazoa; Chordata; Actinopteri; Salmoniformes; Salmonidae
Exons: 3
Source: RefSeq, a predicted model, not a curated record